UACAAAUAGGAUGGUGUUCUUGAUAGUU
Molecule: non-coding RNA, 28 nt
Filed under: Mus musculus (house mouse)
Lineage: Eukaryota; Metazoa; Chordata; Mammalia; Rodentia; Muridae
Also listed under: 1 other name
Source: RNAcentral